This 2631-nucleotide ribosomal RNA is filed under the name Salmonella enterica subsp. enterica serovar Enteritidis. Its description in RNAcentral is "partial 23S ribosomal RNA". It matches the Rfam family "Bacterial large subunit ribosomal RNA". Lineage: Bacteria; Pseudomonadati; Pseudomonadota; Gammaproteobacteria; Enterobacterales; Enterobacteriaceae. The record is from RNAcentral.
UCAUUAACUGAAUCCAUAGGUUAAUGAGGCGAACCGGGGGAACUGAAACAUCUAAGUACCCCGAGGAAAAGAAAUCAACCGAGAUUCCCCCAGUAGCGGCGAGCGAACGGGGAGGAGCCCAGAGCCUGAAUCAGCAUGUGUGUUAGUGGAAGCGUCUGGAAAGGCGCGCGAUACAGGGUGACAGCCCCGUACACAAAAGCGCAUGUGCUGUGAGCUCGAUGAGUAGGGCGGGACACGUGGUAUCCUGUCUGAAUAUGGGGGGACCAUCCUCCAAGGCUAAAUACUCCUGACUGACCGAUAGUGAACCAGUACCGUGAGGGAAAGGCGAAAAGAACCCCGGCGAGGGGAGUGAAAAAGAACCUGAAACCGUGUACGUACAAGCAGUGGGAGCACAGGUUUACCUGUGUGACUGCGUACCUUUUGUAUAAUGGGUCAGCGACUUAUAUUCUGUAGCAAGGUUAACCGAAUAGGGGAGCCGGAGGGAAACCGAGUCUUAAUUGGGCGUUAAGUUGCAGGGUAUAGACCCGAAACCCGGUGAUCUAGCCAUGGGCAGGUUGAAGGUUGGGUAACACUAACUGGAGGACCGAACCGACUAAUGUUGAAAAAUUAGCGGAUGACCUGUGGCUGGGGGUGAAAGGCCAAUCAAACCGGGAGAUAGCUGGUUCUCCCCGAAAGCUAUUUAGGUAGCGCCUCGUGAAUUCAUCUCCGGGGGUAGAGCACUGUUUCGGCUAGGGGGCCAUCCCGGCUUACCAACCCGAUGCAAACUGCGAAUACCGGAGAAUGUUAUCACGGGAGACACACGGCGGGUGCUAACGUCCGUCGUGAAGAGGGAAACAACCCAGACCGCCAGCUAAGGUCCCAAAGUCAUGGUUAAGUGGGAAACGAUGUGGGAAGGCCCAGACAGCCAGGAUGUUGGCUUAGAAGCAGCCAUCAUUUAAAGAAAGCGUAAUAGCUCACUGGUCGAGUCGGCCUGCGCGGAAGAUGUAACGGGGCUAAACCAUGCACCGAAGCUGCGGCAGCGACACUGUGUGUUGUUGGGUAGGGGAGCGUUCUGUAAGCCUGCGAAGGUGGCCUGUGAGGGUUGCUGGAGGUAUCAGAAGUGCGAAUGCUGACAUAAGUAACGAUAAAGCGGGUGAAAAGCCCGCUCGCCGGAAGACCAAGGGUUCCUGUCCAACGUUAAUCGGGGCAGGGUGAGUCGACCCCUAAGGCGAGGCCGAAAGGCGUAGUCGAUGGGAAACGGGUUAAUAUUCCCGUACUUGGUGUUACUGCGAAGGGGGGACGGAGAAGGCUAUGUUGGCCGGGCGACGGUUGUCCCGGUUUAAGCGUGUAGGUGUGUGUUCCAGGUAAAUCCGGUUCACUUUAACACUGAGGCGUGACGACGAGGCACUACGGUGCUGAAGCAACAAAUGCCCUGCUUCCAGGAAAAGCCUCUAAGCAUCAGGUAACAUCAAAUCGUACCCCAAACCGACACAGGUGGUCAGGUAGAGAAUACCAAGGCGCUUGAGAGAACUCGGGUGAAGGAACUAGGCAAAAUGGUGCCGUAACUUCGGGAGAAGGCACGCUGACACGUAGGUGAAGUGAUUUACUCAUGGAGCUGAAGUCAGUCGAAGAUACCAGCUGGCUGCAACUGUUUAUUAAAAACACAGCACUGUGCAAACACGAAAGUGGACGUAUACGGUGUGACGCCUGCCCGGUGCCGGAAGGUUAAUUGAUGGGGUCAGCGCAAGCGAAGCUCCUGAUCGAAGCCCCGGUAAACGGCGGCCGUAACUAUAACGGUCCUAAGGUAGCGAAAUUCCUUGUCGGGUAAGUUCCGACCUGCACGAAUGGCGUAAUGAUGGCCAGGCUGUCUCCACCCGAGACUCAGUGAAAUUGAACUCGCUGUGAAGAUGCAGUGUACCCGCGGCAAGACGGAAAGACCCCGUGAACCUUUACUAUAGCUUGACACUGAACAUUGAGCCUUGAUGUGUAGGAUAGGUGGGAGGCUUUGAAGUGUGGACGCCAGUCUGCAUGGAGCCGACCUUGAAAUACCACCCUUUAAUGUUUGAUGUUCUAACGUGGACCCGUUACCCGGGUUGCGGACAGUGUCUGGUGGGUAGUUUGACUGGGGCGGUCUCCUCCUAAAGAGUAACGGAGGAGCACGAAGGUUGGCUAAUCCUGGUCGGACAUCAGGAGGUUAGUGCAAUGGCAUAAGCCAGCUUGACUGCGAGCGUGACGGCGCGAGCAGGUGCGAAAGCAGGUCAUAGUGAUCCGGUGGUUCUGAAUGGAAGGGCCAUCGCUCAACGGAUAAAAGGUACUCCGGGGAUAACAGGCUGAUACCGCCCAAGAGUUCAUAUCGACGGCGGUGUUUGGCACCUCGAUGUCGGCUCAUCACAUCCUGGGGCUGAAGUAGGUCCCAAGGGUAUGGCUGUUCGCCAUUUAAAGUGGUACGCGAGCUGGGUUUAGAACGUCGUGAGACAGUUCGGUCCCUAUCUGCCGUGGGCGCUGGAGAACUGAGGGGGGCUGCUCCUAGUACGAGAGGACCGGAGUGGACGCAUCACUGGUGUUCGGGUUGUCAUGCCAAUGGCACUGCCCGGUAGCUAAAUGCGGAAGAGAUAAGUGCUGAAAGCAUCUAAGCACGAAACUUGCCCCGAG